RNAcentral lists this ribosomal RNA (301 nucleotides) under uncultured bacterium. RNAcentral's name for it is "partial 16S ribosomal RNA". It matches the Rfam family "Bacterial small subunit ribosomal RNA", at positions 512 to 808 of the family's 1533-position model. The record is from RNAcentral.
CAUCGCCGCGGGAAUACGAAGGGGGCUAGCGUUGUUCGGAUUUACUGGGCGUAAAGCGCACGUAGGCGGAAAUUUAAGUCAGAGGUGAAAUCCCGAGGCUCAACCUCGGAACUGCCUUUGAUACUGGGUUUCUUGAGUCCGGAAGAGGUGAGUGGAACUGCGAGUGUAGAGGUGAAAUUCGUAGAUAUUCGCAAGAACACCAGUGGCGAAGGCGGCUCACUGGUCCGGAACUGACGCUGAGGUGCGAAAGCGUGGGGAGCAAACAGGAUUAGAUACCCCGGUAGUCCCUGUCUCUUAUACC